This 331-nucleotide ribosomal RNA is filed under the name uncultured eukaryote. RNAcentral's name for it is "partial 18S ribosomal RNA". It matches the Rfam family "Eukaryotic small subunit ribosomal RNA", at positions 1470 to 1796 of the family's 1831-position model. The record is from RNAcentral.
CCCUUAGAUGUUCUGGGCCGCACGCGCGCUACACUGUUCGACGCAGCGAGUCUUAACCUUGACCGAAAGGUUUGGGUAAUCUUCAGCAAAGUCGAACGUGAUGGGGAUCGAUCAUUGCAAUUAUUGAUCGUGAACGAGGAAUUCCUAGUAAGUGCAAGUCAUCAGCUUGCGCUGAUUACGUCCCUGCCCUUUGUACACACCGCCCGUCACUACUACCGAUUGAAUGGUUUAGUGAGAUCUCUGGAUUGACGCUGGCUAGGGGGCGACCCUUGGCCAGGCUGUCGAGAAACUGCUCAAACUUGAUCAUUUAGAGGAAGUAAAAGUCGUAACA